AUACGGAGGGUGCAAGCGUUGUCCGGAUUUAUUGGGUUUAAAGGGUGCGUAGGUGGCGUGUUAAGUCAGUGGUGAAAGCCUGCAGCUCAACUGUAGAGGUGCCAUUGAUACUGACAUGCUUGAGUAUGGACGAGGUAGGCGGAAUUUGUGGUGUAGCGGUGAAAUGCAUAGAUACCACAAAGAACACCGAUAGCGAAGGCAGCUUACUGGACCAUAACUGACACUGAGGCACGAAAGUGUGGGUAGCGAACAGGAUUAGAUACCCUUGUAGUCC
This 274-nucleotide ribosomal RNA is filed under the name uncultured bacterium. Its description in RNAcentral is "partial 16S ribosomal RNA". It matches the Rfam family "Bacterial small subunit ribosomal RNA", at positions 523 to 796 of the family's 1533-position model. The record is from RNAcentral.